This 574-nucleotide ribosomal RNA is filed under the name bacterium. Its description in RNAcentral is "bacterial SSU rRNA". It matches the Rfam family "Bacterial small subunit ribosomal RNA", at positions 157 to 724 of the family's 1533-position model. The record is from RNAcentral.
CGGUAGCUAAUACCGCAUAACGUCGCAAGACCAAAGAGGGGGACCUUCGGGCCUCUUGCCAUCGGAUGUGCCCAGAUGGGAUUAGCUAGUAGGUGGGGUAACGGCUCACCUAGGCGACGAUCCCUAGCUGGUCUGAGAGGAUGACCAGCCACACUGGAACUGAGACACGGUCCAGACUCCUACGGGAGGCAGCAGUGGGGAAUAUUGCACAAUGGGCGCAAGCCUGAUGCAGCCAUGCCGCGUGUAUGAAGAAGGCCUUCGGGUUGUAAAGUACUUUCAGCGGGGAGGAAGGGAGUAAAGUUAAUACCUUUGUUCAUUGACGUUACCCGCAGAAGAAGCACCGGCUAACUCCGUGCCAGCAGCCGCGGUAAUACGGAGGGUGCAAGCGUUAAUCGGAAUUACUGGGCGUAAAGCGCACGCAGGCGGUUUGUUAAGUCAGAUGUGAAAUCCCCGGGCUCAACCUGGGAACUGCAUCUGAUACUGGCAAGCUUGAGUCUCGUAGAGGGGGGUAGAAUUCCAGGUGUAGCGGGUGAAAUGCGUAGAGAUCUGGAGGGAAUACCGGUGGCGAAGGCGG